CUGUACAUCGCUGACUCACGGUCAACCAAUCAGAGCGCUGCAUUUCAUCUACAGUAUUAUAACACGAGAUAAUGCUGACUUAAAGUAUGUUCAUUGACAAAUUGGUUAAAAUUGCAAGGGUUUUGUCAGUUUGUGUUGACUAGUUUGUUGGCAUUAGCUACUAGUUAGCUGGUUAGCGUUACUUUACUCGCUGCCAAAUUAGUCAGCCAGCUGAUGAAAUUGCCACGUCAGCCUAUUUUUAGCAUUAGGCCUACGUAGAAGUUAGCAUGUGGUAACCACGGGAAUAUUUCACUCCUCCAUUCAUGUCUGAAUUAUGGAUAAGUUACAAAUCCAAUGUCAAUACCAUUUAAUGUAGUUUGUCUUUUGAGAAACAUAAAUAACUAACGUUAAUGUUAAUUAACUAUGUUGGUAAUAUGGAACAGCCGUAAUCUACUUCUCUCUGUAUGUAAUAAUUUCCUAUGGUGUUUUGUUUAAAGGCUGAAAGUUUGAACCUUCUUAAUGUCAGUUUGUCAUAUUGUUUCCUCUCUUAGACAACAGAGCAUCCUCCUUAUCUGCAUUGUGUUUGACCAUAACGGCUGGUGACUCUAAAGUGCAAGUUCACACAUCAAUUCAGAUAUUGCUCCUGCCAGUGUUGGUGACUCCUUGGAUAUUUGACAGUGUCCUGCUGUCCAGCAUCUCUCCCCCCUAUCCCUAUCUUUGUAUCCCUCUUCUAUCCCACUCUAUCUGUAUACGGAAGCCUGAAAACCCUGAUAUUCUGAAACCUGAACCCUGAACCCUGAAACCUGAACCUAAGGUUAUUGCAACCUGUCUGAACAGAACUCUGAGAGUAUCUCCACUCUUCCGCUCUCUGUCUCUCCUCUGAACACUCACUCACCCGGGUUAUUGGUACCUGAUCUACCUUUUUGAAUGAUCUGAGAGAUUCUCUUCUCUCACUCUCACCUCUCUCCUAUCAACUCCUAUAUUUAUACAAUACUAUUACUAUUACUGUUACUAAUUUGACAAAACAUUUGAAAUUUACUAUUAAUGAGAUUAACAAAAUUGGCCUGAACAAAGAAUUGAAAAGUUAAUUCAGAAGCUGA
Long non-coding RNA from Gasterosteus aculeatus aculeatus (three-spined stickleback), 1079 nucleotides. RefSeq lists it as uncharacterized. The record is from RefSeq and is a predicted model, not a curated record. Lineage: Eukaryota; Metazoa; Chordata; Actinopteri; Perciformes; Gasterosteidae.